GCGGNGGAAGGCGCAUGCCCUUUCCGCCAAAGGAGGCGACUCCGGUGCCGGCUGGGCACGCGUGACAUUAGCUAGUUGGCGGGGCGACGGCCCACCAAGGCGACGAUGUCUAGGGGUUCUGAGAGGAAGGUCCCCCACACUGGUACUGAGACACGGACCAGACUCCUACGGGAGGCAGCAG
Molecule: ribosomal RNA, 181 nt
Filed under: uncultured bacterium
Lineage: Bacteria
Description: partial 16S ribosomal RNA
Rfam family: Bacterial small subunit ribosomal RNA
Source: RNAcentral